GUUGCACAACCUAGACUGGUAAGUAAUUCUAGAACCAGAACUAAAACUUGAAAUUAGGUUACUUAGUGCUUUUGGCAAAACAAACCCCUCAGCCAAGAAGCCUUGCAUGUCUAGUUGGAAGAGUAGUUGGCUCCUCCCCGGUUAAGUCUUGUUGAGCUUAGUAGCUCAGCCUUGUUGUGGCUCCUGUUUUUCAGGUGAAGUUGCAGUUCCCGACCCCUCCCUUGUUGGCGCUUGGCCGCCCCAGCUCCCGCCAGGCUGGACGGUCGAGUGGGACCCCUCCUCGGACGGCGAGGAGAGGACUCAGUGAUGUUCUGGUUGGCCUCGCCCGGACGUCCGACCCCGACGAAGUCUUCCGCUAGCUUUCUCUGUUG
This 371-nucleotide long non-coding RNA is filed under the name Setaria viridis. RNAcentral describes it as "long non-coding RNA (SVIR_LNC004262)". The record is from RNAcentral. Lineage: Eukaryota; Viridiplantae; Streptophyta; Magnoliopsida; Poales; Poaceae.